RNAcentral lists this ribosomal RNA (253 nucleotides) under uncultured bacterium. RNAcentral describes it as "partial 16S ribosomal RNA". It matches the Rfam family "Bacterial small subunit ribosomal RNA", at positions 524 to 776 of the family's 1533-position model. The record is from RNAcentral.
GACGUAGGGUCCAAGCGUUGUCCGGAUUUACUGGGCGUAAAGAGCUCGUAGGCGGCUUGUCGCGUCGGAUGUGAAAGCCCGGGGCUUAACUCCGGGUCUGCAUUCGAUACGGGCAGGCUAGAGUUCGGUAGGGGAGAUCGGAAUUCCUGGUGUAGCGGUGAAAUGCGCAGAUAUCAGGAGGAACACCGGUGGCGAAGGCGGAUCUCUGGGCCGAUACUGACGCUGAGGAGCGAAAGCGUGGGGAGCGAACAGG